CUGGAGUUGUAGCUGGCCCUUAAAAACGGCAUGUGCACGCUCCUUUCACUAAUCCACACACACCUGUGCACCUUCGCGGGGGUCUUCUUUUCGGAGAAGGCUCGCGUCCCUUUACACACCCUUUGUAUGUCUUAAGAAUGUCUACUCGAUGUAAUAAAACGCAUCUAAUACAACUUUCAACAACGGAUCUCUUGGCUCUCGCAUCGAUGAAGAACGCAGCGAAAUGCGAUAAGUAAUGUGAAUUGCAGAAUUCAGUGAAUCAUCGAAUCUUUGAACGCACCUUGCGCCCUUUGGUAUUCCGAAGGGCACACCUGUUUGAGUGUCGUGAAAUUCUCAACCCUCUUCAUUUUUUUAUGAAUGAAGCAGUGGCUUGGACUUGGAGGUUUUUUUGCCGGGCCUCACCGCUCGGCUCCUCUCAAAUGCAUUAGUGCGUCUUGUUGCGACGUGCGCCUCGGUGUGAUAAUUAUCUACGCUGUGGUGUGCUUGCUUCUGUGGAGACGCGCUUUCUAACCGUCCGAAAGGACAGCUUUCAUCGAACUUUGACCUCAAAUCAGGUGGGACUACCCGCUGAACUUAAGCAUAUCAAUAAGCGGAGGAAAAGAAACUAACAAGGAUUCCCCUAGUAACUGCGAGUGAAGCGGGAAAAGCUCAAAUUUAAAAUCUGGCGGUCUUCUGGCCGUCCGAGUUGUAGUCUGGAGAAGCGUUUUCCGCGUUGGACCGUGUACAAGUUUCCUGGAACGGAGCGUCAUAGAGGGUGAGAAUCCCGUCUUUGACACGGAUCNCCAAUGCUUUGUGAUGCGCUCUCAAAGAGU
RNAcentral lists this ribosomal RNA (812 nucleotides) under fungal sp. MX293. Its description in RNAcentral is "eukaryotic LSU rRNA". The stretch from base 541 to 812 matches the Rfam family "Eukaryotic large subunit ribosomal RNA", at positions 1 to 265 of the family's 3401-position model. Lineage: Eukaryota; Fungi. The record is from RNAcentral.